AAUAUUGGACAAUGGGGGCAACCCUGAUCCAGCCAUGCCGCGUGUGUGAAGAAGGUCUUCGGAUUGUAAAGCACUUUAAGUUGGGAGGAAGGGCUUUAGGUUAAUACCCUGAAGUUUUGACGUUAGCAACAGAAUAAGCACCGGCUAACUCUGUGCCAGCAGCCGCGGGAAUACAGAGGGAGUAAGCGUUAAGCGGAAUUACUGGGCAUAAAGCGGGAGUAGGGUGUUCAGUAAGAUGGGUGGUAAAUCCCCGGGCUUAACCUGGGAACUGCUUUCAUAACUGCGGAGCUAGAGUACGGUAGAGGGUAGUGGAAUUUCCUGUGUAGCGGUGAAAUGCGUAGAUAUAGGAAGGAACACCAGUGGCGAAGGCGACUACCUGGACUGAUACUGACACUGAGGUGCGAAAGCGUGGGGAGCAAACA
Molecule: ribosomal RNA, 422 nt
Filed under: uncultured bacterium
Lineage: Bacteria
Description: partial 16S ribosomal RNA
Rfam family: Bacterial small subunit ribosomal RNA
Source: RNAcentral